UGACCUCGCCAAUGUGGUUC
This 20-nucleotide unclassified non-coding RNA is filed under the name Mus musculus (house mouse). RNAcentral describes it as "oocyte_clustered_small_RNA11769". Lineage: Eukaryota; Metazoa; Chordata; Mammalia; Rodentia; Muridae. The record is from RNAcentral.